This 2404-nucleotide ribosomal RNA is filed under the name marine metagenome. Its description in RNAcentral is "bacterial LSU rRNA". It matches the Rfam family "Bacterial large subunit ribosomal RNA", at positions 14 to 2271 of the family's 2925-position model. The record is from RNAcentral.
AGAGCCAACGGUGAAUGCCUUGGCGCCAAUAACCGAAGAAGGACGUGGAUGACUGCGAAAAGUUACGGUGAGCCGUCUAUCAGGCUUUGACCCGUAAAUGUCCGAAUGAGGAAACUCUGCACCCGUCAUGGGGUGCAACUCUGAAGUGAAUUCAUAGCUUCAGUUGAGGGAACCGGGAGAAUUGAAACAUCUCAGUACCCCGAGGAAAGAAAAGCAAACGCGACUCCCUUAGUAGCGGCGAGCGAAGAGGGAAGAGACUAAACCGUGCUGGCGCAAUAGCCUGAUGGCGUUGCCAGUGCGGUGUUGUGGGACGACUAGACACUGCAUCAGAAGUGUCGCGAAGUUACAAAGUUGCUGGGUAGAAGAAUUGUCUGGGAAGACAAGCCAUAGUGGGUAAUAGCCCCGUAUUCGAAACUUACGCAGCCUUCGAGUUCAAUCCCAAGUAAUGCCGGAUCCGAGCAAUCUGGCAUGAAUCCGUGGGGACCACCCCAUAAGUCUAAGUAUUUAUUGGCGACCGAUAGUGAACCAGUACCGUGAGGGAAAGGUGAAAAGAACCCCGGGAGGGGAGUGAAAUAGUACCUGAAACCGUUGGUUUACAAACAGUCAGAGAGUCGUAUUGCGACCGCAAGGUUGCUUUGCCUCGAUGGCGUGCCUUUUGAAGAAUGAGCCUACGAGUUGCGGUAUGUGGCGAGGUUAACCCGUGAGGGGUAGCCGGAGCGAAAGCGAGUCUGAAUAGGGCGUAUAGUCGCAUGCUGUAGACCCGAAGCCAAGUGAUCUUGCCAUGGGCAGGUUGAAGCGGGGGUAAGACCCCGUGGAGGACCGAACACACGUCAGUUGAAAAUGGCGGUGAUGACCUGUGGUAAGGGGCGAAAGACCAAUCAAACUUGGCGAUAGCUGGUUCUCCUCGAAAUGCAUUUAGGUGCAGCGUCAUGCGUUCAGUACCGGAGGUAGAGCACUGGAUGGGUUAGGGGGCCUACAAGCUUACCGACCCCAGCCAAACUCCGAAUUACGGUACUCCAGAGCAUGGCAGUGAGACCACGGGGGAUGAGCUUCGUUGGUCGAAAGGGAAACAGCCCAGAUCAUCAUCUAAGGCCCCAAAUUCAGGACUAAGUGGAAAACGAUGUGAAAUCGCAUAGACAGCCAGGAGGUUGGCUUAGAAGCAGCCACCCUUAAAAGAGUGCGUAACAGCUCACUGGUCGAGUGAUUUUGCGCGGACAAUUUAACGGGGCUCAAGUCCUGAGCCGAAGAUAUGGAUUGCAACGAGAUUCGUCUUGUUGCAGUGGUAGAGGAGCGUUGAUGCAGCAGUGAAGCGGCGGGAGAACCCGACGUGGAGCGGCAUCAAGUGAGAAUGUAGGCAUGAGUAGCGAGAGAGGGGUGAGAAACCCCUCCGCCGAAAGCCCAAGGUUUCCUGGGGAAGGCUAAUCCUCCCAGGGUAAGUCGGGAGCUAAGGAGAGGCCGCGAGGCGUAUCCGAUGCACAACUGGUUGAUAUUCCAGUACCGCCGUGUACACGUCAAGCCCAAGAACGAAAAAGUGGGGGCUGCCUUCGGGCGAACCCACGGCUUUGUUUGCGGGUAGUUGAAGGGGGACACAGGAGGGUAGAUGAUCCGGGGCGAUGGUAGUCCCCGGGUAAGCGUGUAGGAGGUUGCCGAUGAGAGUUGGUGACAUUAACUCCGAGACGCGAUGCCGAUCUCUUUUGAGAGAAGUCAUUGAUCCCACACUGUCGAGAAAAGCCCAGCAGCGAGUUGACACGGCGCCCGUACCCCAAACCGACUCAGGUGGGCGAGUAGAGAAUACUAAGGCGAUCGGGAGAACUAUGGUUAAGGAACUCGGCAAAAUGCCUCCGUAACUUCGGAAGAAGGAGGACCCUUUUUGGUGAAAGGACUUCGCGUCCUCGAGCUAGAAAGGGUGGCACAGAGCAGGGGGUAGCGACUGUUUAACAAAAACACAGCAGCGUGCCAAGCCGCAAGGCGAUGUAUACGCUGUGACGCCUGCCCAAUGCUGGAAGGUCACGAGGAACGGUUAGCCGUAAGGCGAAGCUGUGAAUCUAAGCCCCAGUGAAUGGCGGCCGUAACUAUAACGGUCCUAAGGUAGCGAAAUUCCUUGUCGGGUAAGUUCCGACCUGCACGAAUGGCGUAACGACUUCCCCGCUGUCUCAACCAUAGACCCGGCGAAAUUGAAGUACGAGUAAAGAUGCUCGUUUGCUGCGGAAGGACGGAAAGACCCCGUGCACCUUUACUAUAACUUGGUGUUGAGCUUCGACCUUAACUGUGUAGCUUAGGUGGGAGACUGUGAAGCGCGAGCGCUAGUUCGCGUGGAGUCAUUAGUGAAAUACCACCCUGUUCAGUUUGGAGCUCUAACCUCGAUCCAUAAUCUGGAUCAGGAACAGUGCCAGGCGGGUAGUUU